AGAUGUGAGGGCGAUCUGGCUGCAACAUCUGUCACCCCAUUGAUCGCCAGCAUUGAUUUGGCAGAUCUGGCUGGCUAGGCGGAUGUGUCCUUCCUCCCUCACCGCUCCAUGUGUGUCCCUCCCAAAACUGCACGCUCAGUGGAAGAGGACGACCAUCCCAGAUGGAAGGAGUGUACCAUUCUGUGGCCAAGGGUAUACAACCUCCAGACAAGCUCAAGCUAGAACCUCCAGACAAGCUCAAGGUCCACUUGUAGGAGAACGUAGGGUUGUCAAGCUUCCAAGACUCCAGACACAUCCAAGUAAGGCGCUACAUGUGGCAGUUUGCCAUUCUUU
Podarcis lilfordi (Lilford's wall lizard) is the source of this 333-nucleotide non-coding RNA. The record is from the annotation of a GenBank genome assembly. Lineage: Eukaryota; Metazoa; Chordata; Lepidosauria; Squamata; Lacertidae.